AACUGAAGAGUUUGAUCAUGGCUCAGAUUGAACGCUGGCGGCAGGCUUAACACAUGCAAGUCGAGCGGGGGAAGU
RNAcentral lists this ribosomal RNA (75 nucleotides) under Acinetobacter baumannii ABNIH20. Its description in RNAcentral is "partial 16S ribosomal RNA". Lineage: Bacteria; Pseudomonadati; Pseudomonadota; Gammaproteobacteria; Moraxellales; Moraxellaceae. The record is from RNAcentral.